UUUCGCUCUCCUCUCUCCGACUCUCCGUUUCUCAUCUGUCAUCUCGAAACUUCUCCCUCCUUCUCUUCUCCGUCUUCUCUUUCUCCUUCGCUUCAGCCUUUUCAGCCCAAGGUUCCUACGUGUGCUCUCCGCUUCAGCUUUCAGCCCAAGGUUCCUACGUGUGCUCUCCGCUUCAGCCUUCUCCCUUCAGCUUUCAGCCCAAGGUUCCUACGUGUGCUCUCCGCUUCAGCCUUCUCCCUUCAGCUUUCAGCCCAGGCCCCAAGGUUCCUACCUGUGCAUGCUUAUGAAGUUUCAGGCUGCUGCAGCUUUGAUCUCCCCUUGUUGACGAGGACUGUCGGCGGCUGGUUCUGCUAUUCUGGUGACCCUAGUAAAACACCGGCAGCUCUCUUCGUCUCUCGUUGCAGUGAGCCAGUUUCAGGUGAGUGCCUUCGCCUUCAAUCGAUCUCUCGAUCUCCCCUUGCAUCUCCUUCUGAGAAACCACAGCUUAGUUAUGAACAGAGAGGGCUUUCAACACUAAGCAAUGCGCAGAGGUGGGGGUUUGGACAGGACUGAAGGUAGCAGCCAUUGCUGGUGUGGCUAGCACCAUUCCAACGAAAACAAAGCCACAUUAUCGAAGCGUUGGGGAAUUAAGGGCACUAGGACUGACCCCAUUUACUGACUUGUCGAUCUACUCAGGAGAAUAGCUUGAGCAGGAGGCAAAAUUACUAGAUUGAAGAAUGACAAAUUUAGAAAGAAAUAUGAUUGAUAAGGGCAAGCAAGUAUGUGAUUCGAGACAGAGUUCAGAUGAAGAACUUGCUGUUAUUGUGGCUAGAGGAAGGGAUGGUUCAUUUUCAAGUUUUGGUUCCUUGAGAAGAGAGAGGGUUCUCAAACAUUUGUUCACAUAUUGUUAGAACGAGUAUUGUAACAUAACAUUAUUUAUGGAGAGGUAGAAAAGGAGGAAAUGCUUGUGAUUUCCAAUUUACUUUGUUGACAUUUCUUGUUUUUUUAUCAAAUUAAAUCGUUGAAUUAUAGUUUGAAGAUAUGCCCCAUAGAGUUGGUGCAUAAUUACCUUAAAAUCAAAUAUGUUUAAAACAGGAGGAAAUGUUUGUUCUUGUUGUUUUUUGAUGCAGCAUUGUGUUACAUGCUAAUUUUUGAUGCAACAUUGUGUUACAUGCUAAUUUUUGAUGCAUUUGGUAUCAUGUGCCACAUAGCUAAUUGACUGCUGGUCAUCCUAAUUUUCUCAGUCUAAGGUACUUAACUUUCUAUCUGAUCGACUAUUUUGGCAGAAAACUUAUUGAUGAUGACUAAGGGUUUUGUGUCUAACAAUGUCAUGCAGCAUGUUGCUAGCAUAUGUAUUAGCAUUUGGUAUCAUGUGCCACAUACGCCAAAAGGGGAACUCCACAACUUUUUUGAAUAUCAGCAUCAGAGGCAAUGGAUUCCUGCACCAGAUGACAGUAAACAGCCUUGCUCUAUAAAGCUUCAAUUCACAAUGUUGGGCCGAAAGCUCAAUGUGAACACAAGACCAGUUGACUCUGGAAGGAAACCUGUAACAGGAAUCUGUCUGUUCCUAGAAGGAGAUGUUGAAGAGAAGCUCACCAUCCAUAUCCAACACCUCUCCUCACUACCUGCGUUCCUGAUCCUCUCCAAUGAGCUUGCCUAUGGAUCUGGUAUUGUUAACGACAAGUGUCAGACACUGUUCACAUGUAUGUAUUGCACCUGUUGAGUGCACUCUGGCUAUGACUGACAAAUCGGCCUGGAUAGUAACACUUAAAAAUAAACUGAACCUGAUUAUGUUGGUCUCAUUGGAAUAUGCAUUGGAUGCCACAAAUCUGAAUGAAUAGGUAAA
Molecule: RNA transcript, 1825 nt
Organism: Nymphaea colorata (pocket water lily)
Lineage: Eukaryota; Viridiplantae; Streptophyta; Magnoliopsida; Nymphaeales; Nymphaeaceae
Gene name: MACPF domain-containing protein At4g24290-like
Exons: 7
Source: RefSeq, a predicted model, not a curated record